AAAGUAAAAAAAAAAAAAAAGAUAUUUUCUUCUUCUCUCUUCUUCUCCUUCCCCAUUCUUCUAGAAACGUGGACUGCUCCCUCCGGUUGAAAUUUCUCAUCCGCUAACCAACACUCCAUCUCUAACUCUCCUCCGGUGCCGGAACGACGCCACAUUCAGUAACCGUGUGCCACAUCUCUCUCACUCCUUCCCGUCGACGGUACGUCCAACAUAUCUCCUUUUCUCUCCUCCAGCCGACACCACAACCCCGACCGCCGCUACGCCACUCGAAUCGCGAGACAACGACCACCCCACGCCGCAAUGCUGCUAUCCACGGUGUUUUUGAAGCCGUCAGACUUGAUCGGCACAAUCUGUUUGUGUUUCCUGGUUAGCCGAGCUGUGCAUCACUUAACCAUCUUCCGCCAUUAUUAGCAAGUCGAAUAGCCGCUAACCUAGUUCUUUUCCAACUCCAGGUUGAAAUUUCGGGGCCACAUUGAAUUAGGGAAAGGGCAUCUGGGGGAUCGAGUCACUAAUAGUAGCGGUUAAGGACCAAGUUUGAUUGAGCUCUCCAUCACCUUUGUAGAAUUUCCAUUUUGUAUGUAUAUACCUAACUUUUUAUUGCAUCAUGGGGUGGUAAGAUGUAGCGAAAGUGACACUAAGGAUUGGUGUUUUGAGAGAUCUCUCACUAGACUGAAAUCACUUUGUAUGUAAUAUCUAGUUUAACUCUGCUUGAAACUAUGGAAUAGUCUGGAUGAGUGUGUGGUGAGACACAUUUGAUGUGUUGUUGAAUCUAAAGAUUGUAUAUAUGCAUAUAGAAGUGAAAAUUUCUUCCUAUUUCAGGUUUGGCUAACUCAUAUUUUAGGGGAGAUGUUGGGAUUUCUGGAGAAUUUUAUAAUACUCGUGAAGUUUAGGUUGAGAAGGCAUUUAUUUCAAGAAGUGCUUUCAUGCCACGAUUUAGGUUAGAGGGGAAAAACCUAGAACGGGGUGUGACAAAUAAAUAUUGUUUUGUAAACGUGCAAUCAUUUGACUUUUUUAAAUAUGCAUUGUUUUUAUAUCAUACUAACGGGAUACAUACUUUAGCAGGUUGUUAGUCGUUACCUUGCAAUGGCCUCAGAAAACAUUGUUACAAUACUAACCAUCUUCACAGUGUUCCAACGUCUGUUAGUGUUAUUGAUGAUGUUGGACAAACUACUAAACGAAAAUGUGGAAAUUGUGAAUGUCAUUCGUGAUGCCAUAGAAUGUGCGAAUGACCAAUUGAGGACCAUUGCAGAGUGGCCAAAGUUAGCUAUGCAAGACGAAGACGCAACCCGAUUGGAAGUCAUUAGACAGUUGCGGGUUAUUCCUGAGCUAAGUGGAUUGGAUAGGGCACGGUGCCUGAGGAAGCUGAUGCAGAACUUGGCCGACAUGAAAGCAUUCCUGGUCGUACCCGAGGAGAUGAAGAUGGACUACUGUAAGGUCAUUCUACAAGAUGACGCGUGAUUGUUUGUCCUAUUCCAUUGCUUGUCUCGUAUUUUUUGUUGUUGCAUUAUGUUUCCUGUAUUUGAAUUUAGUUUAUAACUCCCUUGCACCCAUCUUUUUUCAUUUAGAUUUCUUUAGGUACAAAGGAAAUUAUGUUUUCAGUACUUUGUAUUUUUAAUUUUUAUAUACACGUAUUUAAAUUUUUAUGAA
Molecule: long non-coding RNA, 1647 nt
Organism: Cucumis melo (muskmelon)
Lineage: Eukaryota; Viridiplantae; Streptophyta; Magnoliopsida; Cucurbitales; Cucurbitaceae
Exons: 3
Source: RefSeq, a predicted model, not a curated record